Long non-coding RNA from Thunnus maccoyii (southern bluefin tuna), 1444 nucleotides. RefSeq lists it as uncharacterized. The transcript has 2 exons. The record is from RefSeq and is a predicted model, not a curated record. NCBI's taxonomy places the organism in Eukaryota, Metazoa, Chordata, Actinopteri, Scombriformes, Scombridae.
CUGACUGUUGUUUUAAGACAGACUUCAACAGUUGCAUAAACCUCAGUUCAAAUCACACAAUUAUUUACUUAUAAUUCAACUAAAUAUUAGGCAAAAGCCCUGCAGUCUUGUAUAACAUGCAUACAAAUGUACAAAGUACAUUAUGCAGAUAGAUGUAAAUACUUUUACAAUGAAGCAAUCUCUCUGUCUUAUUAAAGAAAGUUACAAAAUAUUUAAUGUCAAGUAAAGGUUUACUGUUUGUGAACUUCAGCCCUCUUUAUCUGGAAGAUAAAAUUCUUGUGUUGUUGCUUUAUAUAGUCUUUCUUUCUGGUUUCAUCUCAGAUAGAAUGACUGAAAAAACCCACAUAUCUCUCCAUAAUAAUAAUGUGCUUGGGCCAUUCAUUCAUUAUCUGAAUAUGAAGAUAAACUGGGCCAGAUUAACACAUUUUUACAGUCUCAGGUGAGAUUUUGUUCAUUCUCUUCUCAUCACCUCACAUUGAACAUGUUCUAAUAAUUUGUUGGAGUUUGCCCUGUGUCUGUAGGCAUAGAAAGGCAUUGUAUACUGUCAUAAUGACAGUACUAAGGGCAGGUCCAAGGGGGUCAAAGCUUUCUGUUUUUUAUUAAGCUUCGUCAAUAGGAUGAAACAGCAUCUCUCUGGAUUGCAAUGUGUCAGUCAGUUUUUUGUGGCAACAGCGUGUGUUGCGCUCGACCACAGGGAAGCCAGGAGAAGUUGGCAUUAAAAAAUAUCAAACAGAUGUAGCCGCUGCAGUGGUGGAUGAAGCAUUCACAACCUUUACUUAAGUGAAAGUGCAUUCAAAAAGUUUCUUAAGAAAAAAAUGUUAGAAAAAAAAUUCUGAAAAGUAAAAUAACUCAUUAACUCAGUUACUGAUAACUGUAUUAACAUUAGAUCACAUUUUUGAUGUUGUAGCUUUGAAUGUAGUGAACAUUUUAACUACUUUAUACACAUUUGAGUAUGAAAAUGCAUCAUAUCUUAUAAUCUCAACAAAGGUUUUGUGUACAGUAUAAAAUAUUAACAUGCAUAGUAACCAGUAAUUCAACUGUCAGAUAAGUAAAAAAUACAAUAUAUCUCACUGAAAUGUAGUGGAGUUUAAGUAUAAACUAACAUAAAAUGUGAAUACUCCAGUGAAGUACAAAUACCUUUAAACAUUUAUUUAAAUAAGGUCGUUUCCACCACUGGAACAGCGCUCCUGCCAAAUUAGCAUGUUAGCAGCAUUAUUUAAGUAAUUAUUUGAAACUGAACUGAGAAACAACUGAGAAAGGUAGCUGUUUGUCUUGUGCCGCUCAUGACAGCUGUCAUGCUUUUGUACUGUACUACUAUAAGACUACUGAAGCACCAUGGAGAAGAGCCUGGAAUAUACCCAUUUUUGAAAUUGUUGGCAGGCAAGUCACUUGUUGAGCCAUGUAGUAGCCUUAGUUUGGUACUUUUUGUGGUAUUUAACCAAAA